Long non-coding RNA from Brassica oleracea var. oleracea, 1103 nucleotides. RefSeq lists it as uncharacterized. The record is from RefSeq and is a predicted model, not a curated record. The transcript has 4 exons. NCBI's taxonomy places the organism in Eukaryota, Viridiplantae, Streptophyta, Magnoliopsida, Brassicales, Brassicaceae.
CGAAGUUUGCUAUUUGGACCGGUCAAACCCAUUGCACAAACCCGAUAAGCACCUUCUUCGUCUUCAACAUUUCUCCUCUGGGAUUUCUAGGAUUCAUGGCCUUCUUCACCUUCUGCUUCCAAACCCGUCCGUGGAGUUUAUGGAAGGUGAUGGGCGACGACUAUUUAUGGAGAAUCUCCGGAGCAAUCCGUUCGUGUCGUUUGGUUUGGAUUUUUUACGCCGGCACGAUUCCUAAUUCAGUUCUUAGAAGCAGAAUGGCGAACUCAUCAUUUCUCCUUGCUGACUUCGAAGCCACCUUCCAAAUCUGUCUGCUCAGAUUUUGGAAGGCCAUGAAUGAGAAAAGAGACGGCGAGCGUAUGGGCGUCGAUAUGCUUCUUCUUGACUCGAAGUCAAAAGGAUAUGAUUUUGAUGUCUGAUGUUCUAACACUAGCACAUGAUCCGUAUCUCUACCACAGUAAGAAAUGAGAGUGUGUAGUCUUCACAAACAAACAGAGAUGCUACAUAACCAGUUUCCAUGUUUUUGAAUAGACCAUGACUUCAAAAGUUGAGACAUGAUAUUAAGAAGUUCUCGGAUGAUUGGGAGACAUGGGCUAGCUGUGAAAGUGAAGAUGAAGCAGCAGAAUAACUGAAACCGUGAGGGGUGGAAGUCUCUCAUCUGAGGUCUUGCGACGGAGCAUUCAAAAUUUUACUCCGGGAACCAUCAAGGAAAAAGGUUAUGCAUGUCUUCCUUAAGAGUGUUUCUGCAAAAGGCAUUGGAGAGGCAUCUUAAUCCACACCUUAAAAAUUUUACUCCGGGAACCAUCAAGGAAAAAGGUUCUGCAUAUCUUCCUUAAGAGUGUUUGUGCAAAGGGCAUUGGGGAUGCAUCUUAAUCCACACCUUUAUAGAGUAACCACACGUAGAAACGUGGCUCUGUAAACUUUUAAUUAAAAGCGUCUUACUUGCUAGAGUAACCACACGUUGAAACGUGGCUCUAUAAACUUUUAAUUAAAAGCGUCUUACUUGCUAUGUGGUUAGAGAAGUAAUGAGGUGUUAAAGACAGUUCAAAGGAAAAAUAGUUCAUGAUUCUUCUAAAAUGAUAGGUCUACCUAUGUAAGAACUCAUC